UUAGCAAUUUUAGUUUGAAAAGUCUUAAUUUAUGUGAUGGUUGAAAAGUCAAAAAGAAAAGCGUUUGGAGAACACGUGUCAAUUUCGGAUUGGUGAAUUUCGUUUUAUUGCGUUGGUCAAUUAAACGAGUUGAAAUUUUAUACCAUGUCAGCCUUAGGAUAGAAAAUUCUUAGGAUUUUAGAAAUUGGAAAUUUCCGGGAACGAAAAACGAAAACGAAAAAUGAAAAAUAAAUAAAUUAAGAUUAAUUAGAAUUAAUUAAGAAAAAUUAAUUAAUUAAUUAAAUUAAAUUGAUGAAUAAUAAUAUUGAGAAAAUUAGUUUUUAUUUGGUGUUAAUAAAUAAAAUUGUGUGUUAAAAUGAAAAAAAAAUGAAUGAAAAAUGAAUUUGAAAUCAAAUGAAACAAUUAGAAUAAAGAAAAGAAAAGAAAAGAAAAUAAAAGAAAUAAUAACAAUAAUAAUGGAUUGGGCUUAGUUUUGAGUUGGGCUUGGAUUAAGUGG
Molecule: long non-coding RNA, 496 nt
Filed under: Vitis vinifera (wine grape)
Lineage: Eukaryota; Viridiplantae; Streptophyta; Magnoliopsida; Vitales; Vitaceae
Description: long non-coding RNA (VVIN_LNC001027)
Source: RNAcentral